CCUACGGGUGGCAGCAGUGGGGAAUAUUGGACAAUGGGGGCAACCCUGAUCCAGCCAUGCCGCGUGUGUGAAGAAGGCCCUCGGGUCGUAAAGCACUUUCAGUGAGGAAGAACGCCUGGUGGUUAAUACCCAUCAGGAAAGACAUCACUCACAGAAGAAGCACCGGCUAACUCCGUGCCAGCAGCCGCGGUAAUACGGAGGGUGCGAGCGUUAAUCGGAAUUACUGGGCGUAAAGCGCGCGUAGGUGGCUUGAUAAGCCGGUUGUGAAAGCCCCGGGCUCAACCUGGGAACGGCAUCCGGAACUGUCAAGCUAGAGUGCAGGAGAGGAAGGUAGAAUUCCCGGUGUAGCGGUGAAAUGCGUAGAGAUCGGGAGGAAUACCAGUGGCGAAGGCGGCCUUCUGGACUGACACUGACACUGAGGUGCGAAAGCGUGGGUAGCAAACAGGAUUAGAUACCCGGGUAGUC
RNAcentral lists this ribosomal RNA (465 nucleotides) under Vreelandella stevensii. RNAcentral describes it as "partial 16S ribosomal RNA". It matches the Rfam family "Bacterial small subunit ribosomal RNA", at positions 338 to 795 of the family's 1533-position model. The record is from RNAcentral. Lineage: Bacteria; Pseudomonadati; Pseudomonadota; Gammaproteobacteria; Oceanospirillales; Halomonadaceae.